This 2525-nucleotide long non-coding RNA is filed under the name Volvox carteri. RNAcentral's name for it is "long non-coding RNA (VCAR_LNC004031)". Lineage: Eukaryota; Viridiplantae; Chlorophyta; Chlorophyceae; Chlamydomonadales; Volvocaceae. The record is from RNAcentral.
GUUCCAAUUGCGUGCGCGUAUGGAUGCUCCUUUCGCCGCCGCCUUUCUAGCAACUAGUUGAUGUUAUGAUGCAUCGUUGGUCCGGUGUACGACGGCGCCUGGUGCGAUUUAUGCGUCCGGAAGCCCUUUCAGCCUCCAGGCAUGUCCCCACCUGCCUCACAGCCACCGACGCAUCUCACGGCGGGGGUCUAAUUGCGUGCGCGUAUGGAUGCUCCUUUCGCCGCCUUUCUAGCAACUAGUUGAUGUUAUGAUGCAUCGUUGGUCCGGUGUACGACGGCGCCUGAUGCGAUUUAUGCGUCCGGAAGCCCUUUCAGCCUCCAGGCAUGUCCCCACCUGCCUCACAGCCACCGACGCAUCUCACGGCGGGGUUCCAAUUGCGUGCGCGUAUGGAUGCUCCUUUCGCCGCCGCCUUUCCAGCAACUAGUUGAUGUUAUGAUGCAUCGUUGGUCCGGUGUACGACGGCGCCUGGUGCGAUUUAUGCGUCCGGAAGCCCUUUCAGCCUCCAGGCAUGUCCCCACCUGCCUCAUAGCCACCGACGCAUCUCACGGCGGGGUUCCAAUUGCGUGCGCGUAUGGAUGCUCCUAUUCGCCGCCGCCUUUCUAGCAACUAGUUGAUGUUAUGAUGCAUCGUUGGUCCGGUGUACGACGGCGCCUGAUGCGAUUUAUGCGUCCGGAAGCCCUUUCAGCCUCCAGGCAUGUCCCCACCUGCCUCACAGCGACCGAGGCAUCUCACGGCGGGGGUCUAAUUGCGUGCGCGUAUGGAUGCUCCUUUCCCCGCCGCCUUUCUAGCAACUAGUUGAUGUUAUGAUGCAUCGUUGGUCCGGCGUAUGACGGCGCCUGGUGCGAUUUAGGCGUCCGGAAGCCCUUUCAGCCUCCAGGCAUGUCCCCACCUGCCUCACAGCCACCGACGCAUCUCACGGCGGGGGUCUAAUUGCGUGCGCGUAUGGAUGCUCCUUUCCCCGCCGCCUUUCUAGCAACUAGUUGAUGUUAUGAUGCAUCGUUGGUCCGGCGUACGACGGCGCCUGAUGCGAUUUAUGCGUCCGGAAGCCCUUUCAGCCUCCAGGCAUGACCCCACCUGCCUCACAGCUACCGAGGCAUCUCACGGCGGGGGUCCAAUUGCGUGCGCGUAUGGAUGCUCCUUUCCCCGCCGCCUUUCUAGCAACUAGUUGAUGUUAUGAUGCAUCGUUGGUCCAGUGUACGACGGCGCCUGAUGCGAUUUAUGCGUCCGGAAGCCCUUUCAGCCUCCAGGCAUGUCCCCACCUGCCUCACAGCCACCGACGCAUCUCACGGCGGGGUUCCAAUUGUGUGCGCGUAUGGAUGCUCCUUUCCCCGCCGCCUUUCUAGCAACUAGUUGAUGUUAUGAUGCAUCGUUGGUCCGGUGUACGACGGCGCCUGAUGCGAUUUAUGCGUCCGGAAGCCCUUUCAGCCUCCAGGCACGUCCCCACCUGCCUCACAGCCACCGACGCAUCUCACGGCGGGGUUCCAAUUGUGUGCGCAUAUGGAUGCUCCUUUCCCCGCCGCCUUUCUAGCAACUAGUUGAUGUGAUGAUGCAUCGUCGGUCCGGUGUACGAUGGCGCCUGAUGCGAUUUAUGCGUCCGGAAGCCCUUUCAGCCUCCAGGCAUGUCCCCACCUGCCUCACAGCUACCGAGGCAUCUCACGGCGGGGUUCCAAUUGUGUGCGCGUAUGGAUGCUCCUUUCCCCGCCGCCUUUCUAGCAACUAGUUGAUGUUAUGAUGCAUCGUUGGUCCGGUGUACGAUGGCGCCUGAUGCGAUUUAUGCGUCCGGAAGCCCUUUCAGCCUCCAGGCACGUCCCCACCUGCCUCACAGCCACCGACGCAUCUCACGGCGGGGGUCUAAUUGCGUGCGCGUAUGGAUGCUCCUUUCCCCGCCGCCUUUCUAGCAACUAGUUGAUGUUAUGAUGCAUCGUUGUUCCAGUGUACGACGGCGCCUGAUGCGAUUUAUGCGUCCGGAAGCCCUUUCAGCCUCCAGGCAUGUCCCCACCUGCCUCACAGCCACCGACGCAUCUCACGGCGGGGUUCAUAUUGCGUGCGCGUAUGGAUGCUCCUUUCGCCGCCUUUCCAGCAACUAGUUGAUGUUAUGAUGCAUCGUUGGUCCGGCGUACGACGGCGCCUGAUGCGAUUUAUGCGUCCGGAAGCCCUUUCAGCCUCCANNNNNNNNNNNNNNNNNNNNNNNNNNNNNNNNNNNNNNNNNNNNNNNNNNCUUUCCCCGCCGCCUUUCUAGCAACUAGUUGAUGUUAUGAUGCAUCGUUGGUCCGGUGUACGACGGCGCCUGAUGCGAUUUAUGCGUCCGGAAGCCCUUUCAGCCUCCAGGCAUGACCCCACCUGCCUCACAGCUACCGAGGCAUCUCACGGCGGGGUUCCAAUUGCGUGCGCGUAUGGAUGCUCCUUUCCCCGCCGCCUUUCUAGCAACUAGUUGAUGUUAUGAUGCAUCGUUGGUCCAGUGUACGACGGCGCCUGAUGCGAUUUAUGCGUCCGGAAGCCCUUUCAGCCUCCAGGCAUGUCCCCAC